This is a long non-coding RNA of Helianthus annuus (common sunflower), 444 nucleotides long. RefSeq lists it as uncharacterized. NCBI's taxonomy places the organism in Eukaryota, Viridiplantae, Streptophyta, Magnoliopsida, Asterales, Asteraceae. The record is from RefSeq and is a predicted model, not a curated record. The transcript is spliced from 3 exons.
CUAGUUAAUUACAAGUCUUGUAGUUAUGAGAAACCUUGGUUAAAACAUGUUAUAUGCAACAAGGGUGAACUAGAGGGGCCAAAAGGGGAAAGUUAGAAACUAAAUGUUAUUAAAAUUAAAACACUACACACACAUAUGCUUGUAAUCGACCAGAGGAAAGGAAAAAAGGGAGCUAAACCCUAAAUUGUCAAGAAUCAUCAAAUUGAAGCUUGAUUCAAGGCCAAAUCGAUGCAUGAACAUGAAUUAAUGAUCACCCAACCUAGGGGAUCAUAAGUUUGACGCCUAACGAGCUAGGUGGAGGCUUGGGAAAGAAGCGGUCAAACGAAUCAAGCAUGAGAAGAAAGGCGUAUUCGGGAUGCGAGGAAUAAAUAUUGAUUGAAUGCUGACAUCGCUAUUACUUAGCGGCUACUAAGGCAAGGAAUCAAAACGGGUCAAUAUAUUGAU